Parus major (Great Tit) is the source of this 3742-nucleotide long non-coding RNA. RefSeq lists it as uncharacterized. The record is from RefSeq and is a predicted model, not a curated record. NCBI's taxonomy places the organism in Eukaryota, Metazoa, Chordata, Aves, Passeriformes, Paridae. The transcript is spliced from 3 exons.
CUGUAAUGUGAUUUACUCAGCUGUUUCCCAUGCUUACCACGACUUUAUUUACAUAUUCCUCAUAUUGUGCAGGUUGUCUGGAUGGGGAAAUGUGUACAGUUGGGAGUGGAUAUGACUUUUGAAACACAGACCCAGGGUCGUGUGAAAAAUGCAUGUUGCUGUUUUGAUUGCAAUCAGUUGUGAAAAUGCAAGAGGAUGAAAAGGUUUUUGCUGGCUUGCUAAUGGGUGUAUGUGUAUUCUUUUUCAUGCUAUUUCAAUGAAAACACCUGGAAAUGAACUGAGGGUUUGAGGAUUCAGGGAAGGAAAAUGAGAUGCCAGUGCUGAAGGCAGCUAAGUUGAGUAGCAGAAAGCAAUAUGCUACAGCUUGUGAGGCACUGCUGGGAGAGAGGGGAACAGAGGAGCACAGAGGUCAGUGCUAUUAACUCUGUGUAGUGGUAUGUGUGAGUGAGAGCAGGGCUUUUUCAAACAGGGCUAUUAAUUUCUCACCAUAUUUUGCUGAUUUUUUCCAUCUUCAGUUUUAUAAAGAAGAUACACUUUUGGUGAGGGCUUGCAAGCUGCCCUUAGAGGGGCUGAGUAGAAUCAGGUCUAGCACUGAUCUCUCUGAAUUCAAGCGGUUGGUCGCAGUGACAGGCUCACGGGAAGAGGAUCAGCCUCUUGGGGGGUCCAAAUCUUCCUGGCUUCUUCACUUCACUGCUGAGCUCGCCUGUGAAAUGCAUGAGCUGUAAGCACACGAAACAUGAAGGCAUAAAAUUAAUUCAAACUCCUAAGAUGCCCAGCUCUAAAAUCGGCCAGCAGCAAAGUGUGGAGCAAUGGUAAUUAACUUCCAUGGUGGCAGCUCUGGGAGAGGUACACAUUGGGCACGAUGGGAGACUUGGUGUGAUGCACUGCAAGCACUGCUGAGGGGGUCAUGGGCUGGUGGCAAAACCCCCCCGGGACCAGGGAGCACAGCAGGGUGCUGGAAAAGAGCAGCUCUGAGGGGAGGAGAUAAAGAAAAGGGCCCUUUGGUGCCUUCUGUGUUCCUCCUGCCCCUCCAAACGUGGCAGCUGCUGAAAGAGGCCGUGAAGUGUGUUUCUCCUGAGUGCUUGCUGUAAACAGUGCGUACAGCAGUGCUGAUUAUACAUCAGCUCGCUGGGCUAACUAUAGCAUAGUAAUUAAAGGGGUGAGAACAUUUUGGAGUACUUUCCGCCACUUGUUGUCUGUGUAAUCCCCCUGUGUUUGGCAAUAAAUAGAACUUUUAAGUUUAAUUAAUAUACACUUGGCUGGCUAUCCAUUUAAAAGCAUGCUUCGGUGGCCUGAGACAUUAUCCACUUAUGCAGAGUGUUGCUGGAAGAGCUGGUGAAACACUGAAGAGGGAGUGCAGGGCCAGGGCAAGGGGUGCUGCCGAGCCCUGGAGCAGGGAGGCACAGCUUCGUGUCCCAGGGAAUGUAGGUCAGUGGGCAAUUCAGAGCAUGCUCUGACACAAGCAUACAGGCACUGCAAGAGAAGGCAGAGUAAAUAAACAGCUUUUCUCCUGAAUGUGGGGCAGCUUGGGCUGUUUCUAAAAUUUAUUUCUGAACGCUGGGUUUUGUAAGUGAGUUCCUCUCAGGCUGAGGUGUCAGAGGGUCAAACGAGUUUUGAGAAUAAAAUGCAGUCUAGUAUCUCUUUCUUUCUCUCAAACUUCUUUCAUGUAGGGCUAUUCAAACCAUUGCUUUUUUUUUUUUUUCUUUUUUGAGUUUAGCAGAAACAACGGCAACAAAAAAAUUGGUUUGGAUUAGAUCAAAUAUACAUUCCUUCCCUCCUCCUCCCCUCCUGGGAUGAAACAAACAAACAAAUCAUGCCGUUUAGCACCAUUGUGUCAUUUGCCCCGGAACAAGCCAUUUCAUUUCAUGUGCUUUUCGAAAAGCAAAGGCGAGGAACAGCUAGAGUUUCAUAAAACUGCCAGAGGACUUGGACUCCAGUCCCAGCUCCAGUGAGUGCCGAGUUAUUUAUCUGCAAGAGCAGGGUGUCAGCGGGAGCUAUUUCAGGCCCCCCCUUUGCUCCAGAAUGCACCCCAGGCUGAUGUUUGUAGGAAUUUUCUGUGGGUGGCAAUGACUCUGUGCAGGUGAAGGAGUGAGUUGUGCUGCAGUGGAUGCACAAAGUGAGCCACGGAACAGAAGUGAGGGUCAGGGUGGAUGAGGAAAAGACUUGGAGAGAAAAAAGAGUUCAGGAAUGAAAUAGAUUUAUAACGUUGCAGCUUCUGCUUUUUUCUUUCAGUCUCUGAUACUAUUUUCCUACUGCUCUUCCUGCCUCUCCUGGCUCUUUACCCCAUGCCUGCUCACCUCCUGUUCUCAUGUAUUUUUUUACCUUCUCAGUCUUUCUCUCUGGAUCAGGUGUUUUGAUCUGGGAAGUCAAGUUAGUAUGCCAUCAUGUAAAUGAGUAACUUAUGCUUCCUAGUGAUGAGCUAGCAUAUGUAGGGUUGUAUGUCUUGAAGACUCAGUUGUAGGUAACCAGCUUUAAUUUUCACAGCUUUUUGUUUGUUUUGUUAAUUUUUAUUUUUAUGUUUUUAUGUUGAUUUUUUUAUUUUUUAUUUUUUUAUUUUAAAGUGCUCUGCAAGAACAGAUUCACUGGCCUAUUCUGCAGGGUGGAGUGUGUGAGAAUUGUCCUUUCUCCUGACUUCAGGGUGCAAUGAAACAAACACUCGUUGAGUACAAAUAAUUUGUCCUAUUUUCUCCAUCAGUUCCAGGAAGAGAGGAAGUGUUUCCCCAAGGAAAACCUUUCUCUGCAUUAUCAGUAGAAGAGCCUGAGGUGGCUGGCUCAGGUGCAAGUGUGGGCUGUGGGUGUCCACCUGUGCCCGCAGGAGCAGCGUGCUCUCUCUGAUUGGCCUGGCCAGUGGCAGUUGAAUUAGCAACAGAGGGUCCAAAAAUAAGCAGAUUUAAUAAAAAAAGCUUCAUGGCGUGGUGGUUGGGCCCGUGCUGUGCAACUAAUUAACUUGCUAACCCUGUGGAAGCACUUCCAAAAAUGAACUCCUGUUCUCUGCUCCCGUGCUUCCUGCAUUCAGCUUCCUGCGCUGCUUCGGCUUCUGUCCCCUUCCCCAGGCGGUCAGCAUAGCAAUGUCACUUAUACCUGCUGUGUGUACAGGAGGGACAUGUCACAUCUUGUGCCUUUCCUGGCCUGCCACUGUGACCUUCUGCAAUAGCUGAGAACAUCAGUUCCCCCUCCCUGAAGUGGGGCACCUGAAAGAAGACUUCUCCUUUCUUUGGGCUUCCCUGUUACGUGCAGAAGUAAUCCACCACUAAUUGUAUAUAAGGACAAGGAGAAAUAUUGUGAUUUUCCUACUGUGGCUUGAAAUGCCUGGCUCUGGCUAUUUGUACCUGCUUUGUAAUAGCCCCACUUGAGAGGUGAAAAAGGAGGCUCUAAAGCCCAAUUCCAAGAUUACGACCUGCACAUUAUUUUAAUUUAAACUCGCCUCCUGUUACAACAGAGAAUCAAGGUGUUGUUUGUGACAAAGCAUCAGCAACGUCCUGCGCCGAACAUGAUUCACGUAAGGAGCAGACAGUGGAUACUGAGUUUGAAAGGGGGCUAAUCAACAAUCUUUGGAAUAAAGAAGUAUCUUAACUCAAAAAUGUUGAUGCAUGAACGAAUGUUAUUCUCUGUGUGCUGAGUUACUGUUUAGGGGACACAUCUACACAAGCAACCACACUGAAUCUGUUCAGCGCCAUUCACAAGCAAAUUAAAUUUCAAAAUCUGACUGUAUGUGCAUGUGUGUGUCUAAAUAUCUCUAGAG